CGAGCUGAUAUAUCACUGGGCCA
RNAcentral lists this non-coding RNA (23 nucleotides) under Arabidopsis thaliana (thale cress). The record is from RNAcentral. Lineage: Eukaryota; Viridiplantae; Streptophyta; Magnoliopsida; Brassicales; Brassicaceae.